GAUGAACGCUGGCGGCGUGCCUAAUACAUGCAAGUCGAGCGAACAGACGAGGAGCUUGCUCCUCUGACGUUAGCGGCGGACGGGUGAGUAACACGUGGAUAACCUACCUAUAAGACUGGGAUAACUUCGGGAAACCGGCGCUAAUACCGGAUAAUAUAUUGAACCGCAUGGUUCAAUAGUGAAAGACGGUUUUGCUGUCACUUAUAGAUGGAUCCGCGCCGCAUUAGCUAGUUGGUAAGGUAACGGCUUACCAAGGCGACGAUGCGUAGCCGACCUGAGAGGGUGAUCGGCCACACUGGAACUGAGACACGGUCCAGACGCCUACGGGAGGCAGCAGUAGGGAAUCUUCCGCAAUGGGCGAAAGCCUGACGGAGCAACGCCGCGUGAGUGAUGAAGGUCUUCGGAUCGUAAAACUCUGUUAUUAGGGAAGAACAAAUGUGUAAGUAACUAUGCACGUCUUGACGGUACCUAAUCAGAAAGCCACGGCUAACUACGUG
RNAcentral lists this ribosomal RNA (497 nucleotides) under uncultured bacterium. RNAcentral's name for it is "partial 16S ribosomal RNA". It matches the Rfam family "Bacterial small subunit ribosomal RNA", at positions 28 to 507 of the family's 1533-position model. The record is from RNAcentral.